This 771-nucleotide non-coding RNA is filed under the name Rhynocoris marginatus. Lineage: Eukaryota; Metazoa; Arthropoda; Insecta; Hemiptera; Reduviidae. The record is from RNAcentral.
UAAAAGUUUGAUUCUGGCUUAGUUCAAUUUGUUAUUAAGUGAUUGUACAUGCAAGUAUUUGCGCGAUUGGCCGAAUCUUAAAGAUUCAUAAUUUUUAUUGCAGUUCUUUAUUUUAAGUUUUAAGGAAUCUUAGAUUUAGUUAAUUUAUAGAAUCUUGGCAAAGGUUGUGCCAGCAGCCGCGGUUAUACAUCCCAGGUGAAUGAAUUUUUUAGGCGUAGGAUUUAAUUUUAACUAUGAAUGAGUAAAGGUAUAUUUUUAGGUGAAAUUGGAAAUAUAUAUAAUUCAUUUUUAAUGAUUAAAAUCUGAAAGUUCUUGAAUGAAAUUAGGAUUAGAUACCCUAUUAUUUAGUACUGUUAAGUUAGAUAUGCCUUAGUAUUAAUAGUUAUGUUCUUAAAAUUAAAAGAAUUUGGCGGUAGUCUAGUCUUUCUAGAGGAACCUGUCCUGUAAUCGAUAAUCCACGAUGAAUUCUACUUUGUUUAUUACUUGUAUACCUCUGUCAUGAAUGUUUUAUUAGGAAAUUUUCUUUAAUCUUUAUGAGAAGUAUGUCAGGUCAAGGUGUAGUUAUAGCAAAGAAGAGAUGGGUUACAUUAAUUUUGUUUUUGGAGGUAAAUAUGGAAAUAUUGCUGAAAUUGGAUUUAGAAGUAAAUGUUAUUAGAAUAUAAUAUUGAUAACAGCUCUGGAUUAUGUACACAUCGCCCGUCGCUCUCGUUGAUUUUAAGAUGAGAUAAGUCGUAACAAAGUAGGCCUACCGGAAGGUGGGCCUGGUUAGUC